Ribosomal RNA from Sinocyclocheilus anshuiensis, 77 nucleotides. NCBI's taxonomy places the organism in Eukaryota, Metazoa, Chordata, Actinopteri, Cypriniformes, Cyprinidae. The record is from Ensembl.
GCUGGCAGCUAAGCAGGGUUGAGCCUGAUCAGUACCUGGAUGGGAGACCUCCUGGGAAAACUAGGUUGCUGCUGGAA